This 3193-nucleotide long non-coding RNA is filed under the name Setaria italica (foxtail millet). Its description in RNAcentral is "long non-coding RNA (SITA_LNC006260)". Lineage: Eukaryota; Viridiplantae; Streptophyta; Magnoliopsida; Poales; Poaceae. The record is from RNAcentral.
GAGGACAAGCGGUGCGCCUGCGGGUUCGGGAACGUGGCCGCCGCCCUGGGGGUUGAUGUCGACCAGAGGUGCGAGGCUGCCAGCAAUGGCGACGUCGCCGAUGGGCCGUCGUCCAAGCUGAGCGAGUUGUGCAGGUAGCUGAUGGAGCAACAAUAUAUAUUUGUCGCCCAUGGUAUAUGAUUGAUCGACCAACAACAUGCAUUAUUCUUUUAAUUUACUGUUAAUUUCGUGUCUGGAUGAUUUAGUUUCCCAGUUCGUCGUCCAUUUGCUCGCUCGCUUGUGUUUUUUCUUUCUCUACUUGUGGUGUACGUGCAUGGUUCGAAUCAAAACCUGUAAUAGCGCUCUGCGCCAAUAAUAAGUAUAUAUAUACAUGUAUACAUGCUUGUCUAGUUUUGCUGUCGUCCAUUCAUGCUACUACAUAUAUUAUUCUUCUUGGUCAUCGACACGAUUUGGUGCUAUUAUAUAUUUUCAUAAAUUAUUAUACGAAUACAUAUCCCUCGACAGUGAGUCGAUAGCUAGUCGAUUAGAAUUAAGCAAAAACGAAUAGUAAUUUAGAAGGGGAUCGAUUUCCUCCUAGUCCAUAAUUCGCUUCCGUUUUUCCUAGUUGUACCUUUUCUAGAGUCAUAUGCCUGCCGGCGUGCGAAACAAAUAAGGAAUUGUUUGGCAUAUCUUCUUGGCCCGUCUCGGUGCGUCUGCAAGGCGUGGCGCGCUCUCCGGCUGCUCCUCCCUCGUUCUCGGUAAAUGUGCUGCACCGUCGGCAAAUAUGUCGCACUUAGCUUUCUUGGCCCGGCCGGCGGAGGAAGGCAAAUAUGUCGCCCUUUAUUUGUCUCGCAUAACAUCCUGGACCACUGCAAUGGCCUCGUCCUCGGCAGCGGCGAGCACUUGGGCGGCUCCGGGAUGUACGUGCGCAACCCCACGACGCGGCGGUGGGCGGCUCCGCACUACAACCACUGGCGCCCGAAGCACCGCACUACAAUGGGAGGUGCGGAGACGGCGAAGGCAGACAUGCAUGGAGCCGGAGAAGCGCAUGACGAUGGAAUUGAAUGGCCGCCGGCGACGUGGAGGUGGAGUGCCUUAUCCUCAACGGCCAUGGAGUGGGAGGAGAAGGUGUUCGUCCGGAAAUGUUGCAUACCGCUGUGGCAUGCACGGGCAGCUGCGCCCGUGCGCCUCUUCACUCUCCUUCGCUUGCCAUCUUUCGCUGUGCGGCGACGUUUCCCAAACGGUACGUACUAAUUUUUCUCUUUUUUUCUUUUCUUAUUUCUGUUCCUUUAGUUCUAUAUUCGUAUUUAUUUCCAGUUCGAAUACGCUAAUUAUAUGGAAAAUUCUAUAUAUCUAUAAUAUUAUAUUUGAGAUCUUAAUUAGAGAGAACCACUUCCGAUAAUAAUUUCAAAUACAUAAGAAAAGUAAGUACAUACAACACUACUUGUCUGAUAGAGAAGUUCAAAUACAUAAGAAAAAUGUUACAUCCAUGCAUACUACGGGCUUAGCCCGGAUACCUUAUAAAGAUACGAAACAUAAUUCAUAUCUCCAAUCUUAAAGUCUAGAUCGUCAUCAAUAUAAGUUAGAGCAUGAACUAGUGCACUCUCUAGCGCUUCAGAAUGAUAAUAAUUUGGAUAACCAUAAAUCUCAAAUAAUGGUGGGUCCGUCGCUUGAGAUGCAUUGUUGAAAGAGCUAUUAGUCUGGAACGUGAAAUCUCUAGUGCGCGUUGGGUAUCCAACGUUGUAAAUAUAUCCCAACAUUUCCACAUCUUGCUCUAGAAUCACUUGAAAGCUUACUGCUGCCCAGGUUUGGCCAUAAAUAUCCUAAAAGAAGAUAAUAAUAUUAUUAUGAAAUUUAAAAGAAGAAAUAUAAUUAAAGAUAAAAUAAUGAUUAGAUUCAUACCAUGUCAUGUCGAUUUAGAUGACAAAGCCUCUCAGCAGUCAUAAUCACACUAUUGCUUCCCUCCUCAAGUGCCUUUAUUUUAAAAUACGAGUAAUCUGGUAUAAAGUACUCAUGAUCCUUUAGCUUUUCCAGGCAUGCCUCCACAGCGGUCCUUUCAUAACUUGUCUUAAUUGCUGCUGCUCGACCUGAUGCGUCAAUUGCAACAAUCGGUUUAGGCUGCCCUGGUGGUGCUCCUCGAAUGGGUAUUUGAAAAGAGAUGUGUAGUCUUUUAAUUGGACCAACUACAUCUUGUCGCACUCUAGGAGUGGUACCACCUAACUCUGCGACAACUCGUUUAAGCCAUCUAAUAGCAUCGAUAAACUGCAUUGUAUGUAAGUAGAAUUAGAAAUUAUUCAUGUGUAGUACAAAAUCAAUUAGAAGAAGGAAAUGACAUUACUAUGUUCAGAACUGUUCCGUGGGUUCGAUCGCCUUCUGGCAUGACAAUGCCCGGAGUAGGGAAGUGAACUCCUGCAGGACGUGCCACCUCGAGCGUAGUAACAUUUGUAGAUGACAUUCCUAGGUUUGAAGUUAUCAAAUAUCCAUCAUAUUCUAGCUCAAAAAUAUAUUUAUAUAAAUAACCAUCCCUACUAGUUGAACUCGCAGACUGUGAUCAUCUCGGCGAGCAUUUCUCCGCCGGGCAACACCGUUCUUGGCCAUGGAAGAGCUCCGAUUCUACGAGGAAGAGAACACGGUCUUCCACGACCAUUGCCGCUCUCCCUCAUAGAACUAGAGCUCCUCCUUGACACCCGUUGUCGCUCGAUGGAAAACAUGCUCGCCGAGAUGAACAGGGUAUGAAAGUUCAAUAAGUACGGAUUUUUUAUAAUUUUCUAACUAUUUUCUAAGGAGGGGGUUAGCGUGGGGAGGGGUGGAGGAGGAGGGGGCUGGCGGCGAAGGGGGCUGACGGCGGCAGAGGAGGAUGACGGCGGCGAGAUGGAGGCUGGGAGGAGGAGGAGGAGAGGGGGUGGAGGGGCCGACGUGAGGAGGAGCAGAGGAGGAGGUGGCCGGUGGCGGAGGGGACCGCUGUCUGUGGGUCAGUUUGUUACGUCCCGGGGUGCCACGAUCCUUCCGGAUUGCUGCAGAGCUAUUCUGAAGGCUGUUACCUUUGGGGAGGGCACGCGGUGCACCUGCUUGUUCGGAAACGUGGUCGCAGCCCUGAGGGUUGAUGUCCUCCGGAAGUGCCAGGCUGCCAGCAAUGGCGGCGUCACUGGUGGGCCGUCCAAGCUGAAGGAGUUGUGCACGAGGGUGCCGGGUAACUAGCUGAUGGAGCAACAAU